Molecule: long non-coding RNA, 2862 nt
Organism: Lagopus leucura (white-tailed ptarmigan)
Lineage: Eukaryota; Metazoa; Chordata; Aves; Galliformes; Phasianidae
Exons: 2
Source: RefSeq, a predicted model, not a curated record
CCUCAGCCUGUCCUUGUAGGAGAGGUGCUCCAGCUCCCUGAUCAUCCUAGUCGCCCUCCUCUGGACGAUUAGAUUAGAUCAUUUGGUUAGGAUCAUUUGGACGAUUGGUUAGAUCAUUUCAGUUGGGAAAAAUUUAGAAGAAGAAGAUACAACAGAUGUAUAAGCAAUUAUGAAUUUAAGGAAAAAUGUGUAUCUAUUCUGUGAGAAGUGGCAAAUACCUCUGAAAGGAACAAGUUAUGGAUAACAGGAGAAAAAAAACUUACUCUACUACACAUCGUGGAACAUGAGAGAUUCUGUGGAAGUCAAAAUGAAUGACCCCUUCUGUGGAAUGCAAUCCACAGAAGACUUAGAAAGAAUCAGAAAGGUUAACCUUUGUGAUGUAUUUGUCUAUUAAUCACAGCAUUCUGGCUUUAAGUCAUAACUUAGCACCCUACACAAACUCAGACCCUCUGAAUCACUUUUCUGCUCUCUAUUGGAAUUGAUUCUUGAGUAAGAAAUGUUUCUUUUAAUUUUAACAAAUGAGACCAGCACUUCAUGUGUUCUAUGUUGUAGGCACUGAUUACUGUCUAUUCUCAUGUCCUUGUAAAAUACUGAUAUCUGAGAAUGUCAGCCAGGAAAGCACCACAAAGCAGAACAUAAGUCCAAGACUCAAAUGGGGAAAAUUUCAUACAAUUAUUAGAGAAACCAGAGAGUUCAUUGCUAACUGAGAUAAGCACUUCCUCUUCCGUCUCAGUGGGAUAACAGAGAAAUGCAAAACAGUUACAUUCAAAUUAGGAGAAGAUAAACAUGCAAUCAGACUUAAAUAUUAGUGUGAACAAUGCAAUGGCCAGGUCAGCGUGCCUCUUUAUUUGGUGUUCAUGAAGGGAACUCUUGCCAUAAGCAAUAAAGCAGAAGAAGGUAUAAUAGAUACACUUAAUUAUUAUUGUAUUUUUUUUUUCCCCGAUAGUGUUUUAUAGUGUUUUGUGGCUAAAUUUCAGUCUGGAGAUCUUACAAAUAGUGACGUAAUAAACAUCAUUCUAUAUCAUCUGUCAAGUUCUCACACAUGCCCUUGUUUCCUGAUUAACCAGUAUCUGCACAGUAUGUACUAACCUCAGGAAGUUUUAUUUUGGCAGUUUAUGUAUUUAUAGUUUUGAGAUAUUGCUAGGGCUGUGCAUUGCAAGUACACCACAGCAAAAAGUUCUGCAAAUGACAUGCUCAUUACAUUUGCAUGAGUCUGAAAUUAAAAUAAUAAUAAUAAAUAAUAAAAGAACGUGAGAAUAAAAUCCAGGUAAUAUACAGCAGACUUUGCAAAAUAUAAAAUAGUCAGGAAUAUGCUUCCAAUAUUCCGUCUGUGGGAGAGUAUGCAACAGAGAAGUGCAUUGACGUAGGAAAAUGACAGUGUAAAACAACAGGAUGAAAAUUCAGAUGAAUACCAUGAAGACAAUGUCAGGAAAGCAUUACACAGGAGGCCCUUACACACAGCAAAUUAAAACAAUACAGAUGAGCACAUCUUAAAAAUUCUGUCAAUCAAAAUCAGUGUUGGCUUGAUCAAGAAACUGUAGAACAAGUAUCUGUUUCUGUGUAAUUUUGUUUUUUUUUUUAAUAAGUUAGAGGGUUUUGACAUUUUGCAAAUCCCGAGGAAAUUGGAUGAGUAUGGAGAAGGAGAUCAUCCAGUGCUUACAUUUGUGAAGAGCUCAAGUAACUCAGAUGCGUUGGUGAAGAUCUGUGAUUGUGCCCAACUCAAAAAAUAGCUUUAUUGCCUGUACAGUUAGGAGAGAUCCUUGUAGUCUCAUCUUCUCCCAUCUACACGUCACAGUUUUGGCACGGGCCUUGCCUAACCGAACUGCAUUUGCUUAGGAAACUGUUGAGUGGAUGAUGUUGAGAGGAUGAUGAAGCCACUCUCGUUGUGAACUGCUUGUGAAUUGAUGCAGUGUGAGGCCUGAGGUGAGAUGCUGCCUGUCAAGCCUUCCUUGGAGAUCUACAUUUUAAUAAUUUUAAUGAAACAUCAAAAGCAAUUACGACAAUUAGGAAUCUUUAACUGAAAAGUCUGUGCAAGUUUUGUUUUUAAGCGAUUGGGCGCCGGGGUCUGCCAAAUUUGUUGUAAGAAAUGUACAGGUGUGGCCAACUCUCUUCUGUGUUGGAGAUAUGCAGUGAGAGAGUGUUCUGAAAUGCUUUCUACACUGUUCUCUUUUCUGACUUUUCUAACAAUGACAAUUUGAGGGCUCCUCUCCAGAGAGCAGUCAAUGCAGGCAGGGAAGAAAGGUUUCAUGGCUGCUGGUUGCUGUGGAGACAGACAGCAUCCCACUGUGAAGACUGCGUAAUACAGGGAGGAAAAGCUCUGAUGGACAUCACAAAGAAAAUAUAUUCCUUCCACUUUCUGUCUCAGCUUGGCUCAGUUGCUUUGGUCUUUCUUCCAGCUUCUCAUCCCUACUUGAUUCUCUCCCUCUUUUCUUCAGCUCAAGUCUCACUUCUUUAUUAUGUAUUCUCCCCAUUCCUUUUCACGUUCUUUCAUGUGCCUUUUCUCCUCAUUUCAUCCCACUUUCCCGAGUGUAUUUGUCUUGCUGAAGUUUUCUUUCCAGACAAAAUCACUGAUGAUUUUCUUGUCUGCUGGGCUACAGAGAGCAGGACGGUGCUCCCACUGCAGUUCUGCCUGGACAAUAUUGCUAUUAGGUUUUAUAUUUCAACAGAACAGAAUUUGUUCUUAUGAGAGAAGAUUGCUAUGGUCCUGCUUCAGCAAAGCAGCCUCUGUAUGUGCCUCCUUCCAUCAGCUCCUGUGGCACCCAGUUUCCUGGAUGCAGAGCUACAGCAAAGCUGUUUCUUUGCAAGGAUUUCUGGUACUCUGUAAUGCAAUAAAAGGACUGGUUAUAGUUGAUCAUUUUGAAA